GACGAACGCUGGCGGCGUGCCUAAUACAUGCAAGUAGAACGCUGAAGAGAGGAGCUUGCUCUUCUUGGAUGAGUUGCGCACGGGUGAGUAACGCGUAGGUAACCUGCCUUGUAGCGGGGGAUAACUAUUGGAAACGAUAGCUAAUACCGCAUAACAAUGGAUGACACAUGUCAUUUAUUUGAAAGGGGCAAUUGCUCCACUACAAGAUGGACCUGCGUUGUAUUAGCUAGUAGGUGAGGUAACGGCUCACCUAGGCGACGAUACAUAGCCGACCUGAGAGGGUGAUCGGCCACACUGGGACUGAGACACGGCCCAGACUCCUACGGGAGGCAGCAGUAGGGAAUCUUCGGCAAUGGGGGCAAACCUGACCGAGCAACGCCGCGUGAGUGAAGAAGGUUUUCGGAUCGUAAAGCUCUGUUGUAAGUCAAGAACGAGUGUGAGAGUGGAAAGUUGACACUGUGACGGUAGCUUACCAGAAAGGGACGGCUAACUACGUG
This 497-nucleotide ribosomal RNA is filed under the name uncultured bacterium. Its description in RNAcentral is "partial 16S ribosomal RNA". It matches the Rfam family "Bacterial small subunit ribosomal RNA", at positions 28 to 507 of the family's 1533-position model. The record is from RNAcentral.